CUGUCCCCAAGGUAGCCAUGGGGCUUUAGUGGGAUGGGGAGCUUCUGGGCUGAGCCCCAAACCACUUCCCUUUCCCCUCCAGCCCCUCUGCUGGGGCAGCCCGUGUCCAUGCUGUCCUGCAGGACUUGGGCCUGAGCCCUAGGGCUUCGGAUGUUGAGCUUGUGCAGCACGUGUGUGCGGCCGUGUGCACGCGGGCUGCCCAGCUCUGUGCUGCUGCUCUGGCCGCUGUUCUCUCCUGCCUCCAGCACAGCCGGGAGCAACAAACACUCCAGGUUGCUGUGGCCACCGGAGGCCGAGUGUGUGAGCGGCACCCCAGGUUCUGCAGCAUCCUACAGGGGACAGUGAUGCUCCUGGCCCCAGAAUGCGAUGUCUCCUUCAUCCCCUCUGCGGAUGGUGGUGGCCGGGGAGUGGCGAUGGUGACUGCCGUGGCUGCCCGUCUGGCUGCCCACCGGCGCCUGCUGGAGGAGACCCUGGCCCCGUUCCGGUUGAACCACGAUCAACUGGCAGCGGUUCAGGCACAGAUGCGGAAGGCCAUGGCCAAGGGGCUCCGAGGGGAGGCCUCCUCCCUUCGCAUGCUGCCCACUUUCGUCCGGGCCACGCCUGAUGGCAGCGAGCGAGGGGAUUUCCUGGCCCUGGACCUUGGGGGCACGAACUUCCGUGUCCUCCUGGUACGUGUGACCACAGGUGUGCAGAUCACCAGCCAGAUCUACUCCAUUCCCGAGAGUGUGGCCCAGGGCUCUGGUCAGCAGGUACCCACAGUCUGAACCUUGAUGUCAGAGGUCGGGAAGGGCUGAGCAGUGCCUACCCCUGACCUGUCCUGCCCCACAGCUCUUUGACCACAUCGUGGACUGCAUCGUGGACUUCCAGCAGAAGCAGGGCCUGAGUGGGCAGAGCCUCCCACUGGGUUUUACCUUCUCCUUCCCAUGUAGGCAGCUUGGCCUGGACCAGGGCAUCCUCCUGAACUGGACCAAGGGUUUCAACGCAUCAGACUGCGAGGGCCGAGAUGUCGUGAGUCUGUUGCGGGAAGCCAUCACACGCAGACAGGCAGUGGAGCUGAAUGUGGUUGCCAUUGUCAAUGACACGGUGGGGACCAUGAUGUCCUGUGGCUAUGAGGACCCCCGUUGCGAGAUAGGCCUCAUUGUCGGAACCGGCACCAAUGCCUGCUACAUGGAGGAGCUCCGGAAUGUGGCGGGCGUGCCUGGGGACUCAGGCCGCAUGUGCAUCAACAUGGAGUGGGGCGCCUUUGGGGACGAUGGCUCUCUGGCCAUGCUCAGCACCCGCUUUGAUGCAAGUGUGGACCAGGCGUCCAUCAACCCCGGCAAGCAGAGGUUUGAAAAGAUGAUCAGCGGCAUGUACCUGGGGGAGAUCGUCCGCCACAUCCUUUUAUAUUUAACCAGUCUUGGUGUUCUCUUCCGGGGCCAGCAGACCCAGCGCCUUCAGACCAGGGACAUCUUCAAGACCAAGUUCCUUUCUGAGAUCGAAAGUGACAGCCUGGCCCUGCGGCAGGUCCGAGCCAUCCUAGAGGAUCUGGGGCUACCCCUGACCUCAGAUGAUGCCCUGAUGGUGCUAGAGGUGUGCCAGGCCGUGUCCCAGCGGGCUGCCCAGCUCUGUGGGGCAGGUGUAGCUGCCGUGGUGGAGAAGAUCCGGGAGAACCGGGGCGUGGAAGAGCUGGCAGUGUCUGUGGGGGUGGAUGGAACACUCUACAAGCUGCACCCGCACUUCUCCAGCUUGGUGGCGGCCACGGUGCGGGAGCUGGCCCCUCACUGUGUGGUCACGUUCCUGCAGUCAGAGGAUGGGUCCGGCAAAGGUGCAGCCCUGGUCACUGCUGUUGCCUGCCGCCUUGCGCAGUUGACUCGUGUCUGAGGAAAUCUCCAGGCUGAGGAGGUCUCCGCCACAGCCUUGCUGGACCCGGGUUGGGGUCUGCCUGUUUCCCAGCCAGGCCCAGCCACUGAGGACUCCUGGGACAUCCCAUGUGUGACCCCUCUGCGGCCAUUUGGCCUUGCUUCCUGGCUUUCCCCGAGAGAAGUAGCACUCCGGUUAGCAAUAUAUAUAUAUAAUUUAUUUACA
Molecule: small RNA, 2067 nt
Filed under: Pongo abelii (Sumatran orangutan)
Lineage: Eukaryota; Metazoa; Chordata; Mammalia; Primates; Hominidae
Description: retained intron
Source: RNAcentral